RNAcentral lists this transfer RNA (19 nucleotides) under Scarelus crudus. Its description in RNAcentral is "partial tRNA-Ser". The record is from RNAcentral. Lineage: Eukaryota; Metazoa; Arthropoda; Insecta; Coleoptera; Lycidae. RNAcentral also lists the same sequence under 1 other name.
UUCUUAUAUAUAUUUCUUU